This is a long non-coding RNA of Lepus europaeus (European hare), 1847 nucleotides long. RefSeq lists it as uncharacterized. The transcript is spliced from 3 exons. The record is from RefSeq and is a predicted model, not a curated record. Lineage: Eukaryota; Metazoa; Chordata; Mammalia; Lagomorpha; Leporidae.
UGGUCGCUGGGACAGGAGAGAGACAGGGAGACUGGCAAAAUGUGACAGCUGCGGACUACGGCUCCCUCCCAGCCAGAGGAAAUCACUGGGUGUAUUUUUGGGGGGAAGGCACGGAGGCCACCUCCCUACUCCCUGUGUCUGCUUGGGGGGCGGGGCCUACAGGGGAAGUUCUGGCUCACUUCCCCAUGGAAACCAUCCUGUUAGGGGUGAAGGGUGGAGAGCCCAUGUUUCAGUCACUGAGAGCUUAGGGGAACCCUGGCUCCAGUCCCCGGCUGCUGAGGGCUGGGCUGGCAUGGAAGGCACAGCAGAUGCCCCUCAUCUUCUGCUCCUCACCCACCCCCCUCCUGGCUUUCACCCCUGCCCACCCUUUUCCCAGUGCCCCGGUCCACCUCCAGCCCCCCACCCCUGGCUGCCUGGAACAUAAACAGACUCCUAGCUUCACUUCCUGCUAUUCAGGGUCCCGCCACGCCAGGGAACAGGAAUCAAGAUUGUUUAGAUUGGGGUCUGGAUAGAACAGGCAAGGAGUCACGCAGGGCAGGGAAUUGGGGCAGCCGGCAGCCAGUGUGGGGUCUGGAGACGGAGUUCUGGGAGCUGGAAACCACAGAAUCCAGCCCCGUGAUGUAGAGCAGGUGUGAGGGGGUGGGGAGUAAGGCUCAGACAGGGCAGGAGACUUGUCCAGGGUCACAGGGCUCUCGGGAACAGCUCCAGGCGCCCACACGCCUUCCACUCUCUCUCUUGCCCCAGUAGUGGCUGCCCUACCCGGCCCCCGGUGCCCCCGUUUGGCGCUGGCUCACACCAGGCAAAAAGAAACCUCUCUGCUCUGCUCCCCCACCCCAGGAGUGACUGGUGCCAACUCUGCGCUGUUCCCUGGGCCCCUCCUGUCCCCGGAACUGUCCUGCAAAGGGUGGAGGAGGACCGGUGACACGAGGGAAGUGAAACACACCGAGACGCCCAAUGCAUGACUGUCUGCGGCUGGCCAGGGCUGGCCGAACUGCUCCAGCCGGGUCAGACGCAGAAAGCGGGGGCUCAGGCUGCAGCAAGAAGCAUCGUGGUCAGACGGCGCCCAGGACUUCCUGAAGGGUACAGAGUGUGCCAGCGUCGGUCUGGGGCCAGGUGCAUUAGCAGGAAGCAGAUGGGAGUGGAGCAUCCAGGGCUCAAACCAACACUACGUAUUCAGGAUGCUGGCUGUACCAACAACACUGGCCCCAGGGCUAAACCUUAAUGGUUUAUCUCCAUUAAAUCUCACAGCCACUCAAUGGGGAAACUGAGGCUCGGGCACUUGAGUCUGUCGCUGCUAAACCUCUAAGCGCUUGAGUUAGGCGGGGAAAGACCGGAUGGCACGGGCCUUGGCAGACACAUUGGCCCCUGCCAUCCUCAUCAGCAGGUGGACUUGGGUUUGUUUACACACCGAGACAGACAUUAUCUGUUCUGCUGUGGGUAGAAGCAAAGUAGGGGGGUAACUGGGAGACGCCUGUCAGUCUCUUUCCCUGCAGCGCAGCCGCUGUAUCAGCAGCAGCUCAUCACAGCUGUGACUGCCCUGAGGCUGCGGAAGUACUGUGUCAAACACAUCUGUCUUGCCUGCCCCUGCCCCGCAGCGGGUCUUGCCUGGACUCGGCUGCUCACAUAAGGCUGCCCUCAGGGGUCACUGCAUCAUCCCCUCAGCCCCUCCGGAGCAAGCCUGGAUGUCCUAGCCGCAGCAGCCUGCCUUCUCCCAGGGGACGGGGUUCCUGGACACACACACACACACACACACCCGCAGACACCUGGAACCUGUCUCAUUACCCCUGAUGAAGUCUGACUUACAAACGCGUACACUGAGAGAUGAGCCGUAACAACUAAUAAUAAAA